UAAUGGGUCCUCCAAUUUCUAA
This 22-nucleotide unclassified non-coding RNA is filed under the name Mus musculus (house mouse). RNAcentral describes it as "oocyte_clustered_small_RNA4005". The record is from RNAcentral. Lineage: Eukaryota; Metazoa; Chordata; Mammalia; Rodentia; Muridae.